GACGAACGCUGGCGGCGUGCUUAACACAUGCAAGUCGAACGAGUGGCGAACGGGUGAGUAACACGUUGGUGACCUGCUCUGCACUUCGGGCUAAGCCUGGGAAACUGGGUCUAAUACCGGAUAGUGUGGGAUGGUCCCGCGGCGUAUCAGCUUGUUGGUGGGGUAUUGGCUACCAAGGCGCGACGGGUUGCCGGCCUGGGAGGGUGGACGGCCACAUUGGGACUGAGACACGGCCCAGACUCCUACGGGAGGCAGCAGUGGGGAAUAUUGGACAAUGGGCGCAAGCCUGAUGCAGCCAUGCCGCGUGUGUGAAGAAGGCCUUAGGGUUGUAAAGUACUGUUAGCGGGGAGGCGUUACCCGCAGAAGAAGCACCGGCUAACUCCGUGCCAGCAGCCGCGGUAAUAC
This 405-nucleotide ribosomal RNA is filed under the name uncultured bacterium. RNAcentral's name for it is "partial 16S ribosomal RNA". It matches the Rfam family "Bacterial small subunit ribosomal RNA", at positions 28 to 526 of the family's 1533-position model. The record is from RNAcentral.